Molecule: long non-coding RNA, 1002 nt
Filed under: Parus major (Great Tit)
Lineage: Eukaryota; Metazoa; Chordata; Aves; Passeriformes; Paridae
Description: lncRNA (ENSPMJG00000010831.1)
Source: RNAcentral
CCCAGCCCAGCUCCGCUCUGCUGUCUGUUGUGGCACAGCAAAGCCCAGCACGUUCCAGUUUGGCACGGCACAGCUCGGUGUGUACCCCCAGCCCGGGCAGGGCAGGGGGACACACAGGGAGGGCACACGGAGCAUCAGGAGGCGCCGGGGGACCCUCUGUGCCCCCAGCCCGGCCGUGCCCACGCUGUCCCAGCACGGGGACACUCCCGCCACCGCUGCUCUCCGGCCCCGAGCGAGGGCCACACAAGGGGCCGCUUUCUGCGGGAACAAGGGCACUCUGUGCACGGCCCUCGGUGCCACCCGGCUCCACCGUCCCGGGUCACCCGCCCCGUCACACGGCUCUGCUGCCCCGGGGCCACCGCUCUCUCCUGCCUCACUGGCGCUUUGUUCUCGCGGCUCAGGGAGCGAACGGCUCUGGGACAAACACAACAGACCCCCCUCCCCAAAAAGAAACCCAGAGAAACCCAACCUUGGAGCAGCCGCUGGAGAUUCACCCAGCUACGGACAGAGGACCAGAAAUACGCUGUGUGCAAAAAAAACCCCAAAAACCCAACCGAAAACCCCAAGACUCAUCUUUCGCUUACCUUGCGCUUCUCGCCCUGCCGGGACACGUGGCGGGGCCGCCACCGCGGGGCAGAGCCGGCCUCAUCCCGGCAGCAGUGCCGGCAAAAAAAGGGGGAUAUUCUGGUUGCUUUCUCUUUUGUUUUUGGUAAAAGUGGGGCACGCGCUCACAUCUGGGGCUCUGCGCUGCCUGGGAACGGCACGUUCUCGGUAGAAGAGGAAACCCCAAGCGCGGGAAGCUGCGCUGAGCACCGGGGCUGUCGCCACGCCCGAGAGGGGCACCCGAGGGGUACCGGGGGAUGGGGCAGCCGGGAAGGGCAGCGGAGCCCCGGAUCCGGUGUGGGACACCCGGGUGGGCGAUGCUGGGGUGGCUGCUGGCGGCGCUGGCGGCGCUGGCGCAGGGCGGUAAGUGCUCCUGCGGUGCUGGGAGAUGAGAGAUAA